GGCCUUCCGUUUGCUAUCUCCUCUUCUUCUCCCCCCCCCCCCUUCUCACUGGUCAACGGCCGGGUGGCAGGCGGCGCCCGUUGGGGGUGGGUCUAGCUCCGUCGAUCGCCCCGGAGGAACGCGGCGCGGUGCUGCCUCCGGCGCGCGGGUUUUUCCAUGGGGAGGAACGGGAGCGUGAAGCGCUCGGGGUCCACUGGCGGCUCGGGGGCCGCCGCCGCGGGGCCGCCGACGUUCACCGUGAACCCAGGCGACUACCGGCUGAUGGAGGAGGUUGGGUACGGCGCGCACGCCGUCGUGUACCGCGCGAUCUUCCUGCCCAGGGACGAGGUCGUGGCGGUCAAGUGCCUGGAUCUCGAUCAGCUGAAUAACAACAUCGAUGAAAUACAAAGGGAGGCUCAAAUAAUGAGCUUGAUCGAUCAUCCUAAUGUCAUCAGGGCUUACUGCUCAUUUGUUGUGGAGCACAGCCUUUGGGUGAUAAUGCCAUUCAUGACAGAGGGUUCAUGUUUACACUUAAUGAAGAUUUCAUACCAGGAUGGUUUCGAUGAGCCAGUCAUCGGUUCCAUCCUAAAGGAAACUCUUAAGGCUCUGGAAUACCUUCACAGGCAAGGUCAAAUACAUCGUGAUGUCAAGGCUGGUAAUAUCCUUAUUGACAGUGCUGGUAUAGUGAAGCUUGGAGACUUUGGUGUUUCUGCUUGCAUGUUUGAUAGAGGUGAUAGGCAAAGAUCUAGGAAUACAUUUGUAGGGACACCAUGCUGGAUGGCUCCAGAAGUGCUCCAGCCUGGCACUGGAUAUAAUUUCAAAGCUGAUAUAUGGUCAUUUGGAAUCACUGCGCUUGAACUUGCGCAUGGCCAUGCUCCAUUUUCGAAAUACCCCCCUAUGAAGGUUCUUCUCAUGACUCUCCAGAAUGCACCACCUGGUCUUGACUAUGAACGUGAUAAAAAAUUCUCGAAGUCAUUUAAAGAGAUGGUUGCCAUGUGCUUGGUCAAAGAUCAAACAAAGAGGCCAACAGCUGAAAAGUUGCUAAAGCAUUCAUUUUUUAAAAAUGCAAAGCCUCCAGAAUUGACCAUCAGGAGUAUCUUAUCUGAUUUACCUCCUCUCUGGGACCGUGUAAAGGCUCUCCAGCUUAAAGAUGCAGCACAAUUGGCCUUGAAGAAAAUGCCUUCUUCUGAACAGGAGGCCCUCUCCCUGAGUGAAUACCAACGAGGUGUUAGUGCAUGGAAUUUUGAUAUCGAGGAUCUCAAGGCUCAAGCAUCAUUGAUUUGUGAUGAUGAGCCACCUGAAAUAAGAGAAGAUGAGGACACUGCAAGAAACACUGAAGUUGAAAAGGAUUUAUCUUCCAGGAACCAUUUGGGGAAGUCAUUUGCAAACGAUUGCAACUCCAGGGAGCAAACUUUUGCAACCAUUGUAAAUUCGCAUGGAAACAGACCUAUUACAAAAGAAGUCUUUGAUUUUGAUUUCGAUUUUAGUGACGCCAACCCUAAAAGGAGGGCUGAUGGAUUUGAAAACAACAGAAGAGAGAAUGACUCAUUGCCCUCAACAUCAAAGAGAGAUCCAGAGUCAAAUCAUUGGACAAGUGAUGUUGGGCAGCGACAACAGACUUCUGGUGGGAACAAUAGCUCAGUAGCUGAUGAAAGGGGCCCUGGUUUUGAGAGGGAUGCUGCUGUUCAAAUGAUAUCUGAUAAACAAAGAAGUGAUAUGAGGAAAACAGCAAGCCUUAGUGGUCCACUUUCAUUGCCAACUCGUGCUUCUGCAAAUAGUCUGUCGGCUCCUAUUCGAUCUUCAGGAGUUUCUGUAGAAUCACCUGUAGACAAGUCCAAACGAAAUGUUGUGGAGAUUAAAGGCCGCUUUUCGGUGACAUCUGAGAACGUUGAUCUUGCAAAGGUUCAGGACGUUCCAGUCAGCAGUCUCUCCCGCAAGUCCCCAGAGGGUUUACUGCUAAGAAAAUCUGCUAGUACUAGUGAUUGUUUGGUCAAUGCUAAGCCAAUGUGUAAUAGUUCAGUGUCAUCGUCUAUAUUGAUUCCUCACCUGAAUAACCUUGGGCAACAGACCAUGUUUCAGCAGGAUCUGAUUAUGAACCUAUUAAGUAGCUUGCAACAAAAUGAGAAAGCUGAUGGAUCAGAGCCUGGAAUAUCUUCUCAAGUCCGAAAUAUGGAGAGUGAUAAAGUGGCUGAGACAGCUAACUCUGAGAAGGAACGGUCAUUACUUGUCAAAAUUUCGGAACUACAGUCUAGAUUAUUAGUUCGUAUGGCGCCAUUUAUGUUCUGUUUUGGCAACCAUGGUUUAGCAGCUGAACUUACGGAUGCACUUUCACUAUCAAACUGAAUCGGGAUGAUAAUGUUGACUGACGAACUAAUUGCCACUAAGCUAAAACAUGCACAGUUGCAGCAAGAGCUAAAUGCAUUGUACUGCCGAGAAGAAAUUGAAGACGUCAGGGAUGAGGACAAUGAAGAAACAUAACAUCAGGAGGAUCCAUGUUGUGCGAAUUAGCUGCCCUGGCUUGUUAUGUCGAGGCUAAGGGAGUCUUAACAGGAGAAGGAACUUCGUGCCAACAGCGCUUCUGAGUCGCAAAUAUAUGCCUGAUCCGGAGACUAGCUCUUACAUUACAGCUGCGGCACUUAUGGAAUUCUUUUCUUUGAAAGUUGUCUGUGCCCUACUGCCCUUGGCCUGCUGCCAUCAGUGUGUAUAUCCAUCUUUCUUUCAAUUACCUUUAGUUUCCGUUGGUUCAACGGGUUUUUGGUGGUCCCGAGAUUGCGAUUGCGGCAUUGUUGAUUCUGCUAUACAUAUCAUUGGAGUAGCUGUGAUUAUGUAGUUCGUAGGUUGGUGGUUGGUUCUCAAUGCAGAAUAGCGGAGGACUGCAUAAUAAAAUGUAUUUUAUGUAGCAAUAGCUUGUAUAUUUCUGAUUGGUGCAUUCGUUGAUAUUUUCAUGCAUAUUUGCAAACCUCGGAACAGAGUUGUUUGCAUAUCUAAUAAUAAAGUACACAUUUACUC
This is an RNA transcript of Panicum virgatum (switchgrass), 2988 nucleotides long. It is a transcript of the gene named serine/threonine-protein kinase BLUS1-like, with no coding region annotated. The transcript is spliced from 23 exons. Lineage: Eukaryota; Viridiplantae; Streptophyta; Magnoliopsida; Poales; Poaceae. The record is from RefSeq and is a predicted model, not a curated record.